RNAcentral lists this transfer RNA (75 nucleotides) under Sphaerodactylus townsendi. RNAcentral describes it as "tRNA-Ala". The record is from RNAcentral. Lineage: Eukaryota; Metazoa; Chordata; Lepidosauria; Squamata; Sphaerodactylidae.
GGAGAGGCUGUGGCUCAGGGGUAGAAUAUUCACUUGGCAUGCAGAAGGUUCCUGGUUCAAUCCCUGGCAUCUCCA